GUAGGUGAACCUGCGGAAGGAUCAUUAUUGAG
RNAcentral lists this ribosomal RNA (32 nucleotides) under Leucoagaricus sp. G202. Its description in RNAcentral is "partial 18S ribosomal RNA". Lineage: Eukaryota; Fungi; Basidiomycota; Agaricomycetes; Agaricales; Agaricaceae. The record is from RNAcentral.